RNAcentral lists this ribosomal RNA (253 nucleotides) under uncultured bacterium. Its description in RNAcentral is "partial 16S ribosomal RNA". It matches the Rfam family "Bacterial small subunit ribosomal RNA", at positions 524 to 776 of the family's 1533-position model. The record is from RNAcentral.
UACAGAGGUCUCAAGCGUUGUUCGGAUUCAUUGGGCGUAAAGGGUGCGUAGGCGGCGCGGUAAGUCGGGUGUGAAAUCUUGGAGCUUAACUCCGAAACUGCAUUCGAUACUGCCGUGCUUGAGGACUGGAGAGGAGACUGGAAUUUACGGUGUAGCGGUGAAAUGCGUAGAUAUCGUAAGGAAGACCAGUGGCGAAGGCGGCUUCCUGGACCGGUUCUGACACUGAGGAGCGAAAGCGUGGGGAGCGAUCCGG